RNAcentral lists this long non-coding RNA (2078 nucleotides) under Homo sapiens (human). Lineage: Eukaryota; Metazoa; Chordata; Mammalia; Primates; Hominidae. The record is from RNAcentral.
UCUUUUAUUUUCUUUUGAGCGAUUGUGCGAACAUAGCAUAGCACGCACUAUGCCUUCUGUGUUGUAGCUGCCUGGCCAGGGCGACUGGCGGAUAAGGUCUUGUGCGUGGCCUCGAGGCUUAAAAGUAGCAGUGGGGCUUUGUGAAGGACAAAAUGGCGAUGGCGGGCCGUGUAGGUCCCCCUUCCUAUGAUGAGGACCUUUUCACAGACCUGUACUGAGCUCCGUGAGGAUAAAUAACUCUGAGGAGAUGGGCCCUGCAAGCCUCUUGCUUAGCCGUCUGUUCAGAAAAUAGCGUUUUCGAAAUGCCCUGAGUUGACCUAAUGUCUUAUUGGGCUCCUGUCUGCAGGAUUUACGCGCACGUUGGAACCGAAGAGAGCUCUGUUGUUGCAAUGUUCAGCCCACAAGAGCUUACUGGUGAAGGAAUGGGACAAGACCCAUCUUUAUGCAAAGCCAGCGUUACAGUAAUGUUCCAGCAUCUCAUAAUCUAUCCUGGGGAAUUCAGCUGCCUCCCAGGGUGAAUACAGGUAUUCCUGAUGACAGUCUGCCUCUAUCUUACAGUAAGUUGUUUUUCGAAUUCUAUGGGCCUAUUAUCUAAUAGAUAACUUAGCCAUUUUGAUAUUUGUUACCAAAGCCUGCUUAACCCAUAAAGUUUUCUGGUUCCUCUUGUUCUCUGUAGUGAUGUUUCUAGAUAGAUGCCCACUGAUAUAUGCCCCUUUUUUCUCAGAUAGAUGCCCACUGAUCUGCCCAGGGUCAGACGAAUGCUUGUCAGUUGUAGCUUUCCAGGAUUCUGCUCCAAUGAGGAGGAAACAUCCUGCCUUACCCCUGUUUUAGCCUGGGAACCAGUAAUUGUGAACUCACCAGGGUUAACAUGAAGAGGGCAUGAGAGCUUAUUCCAUAAGGAAUUGUCUGAGACAUUUGGUUACCUUUUCUUAGUUUGUCCAUUAGCAACCGUAACUAAAAUAGUUUUGGCUGUUUGGGAUAAUUAGCUAAUUGAAUGAUUUUUUGAUUCAGGAGCAGCUUGUUGCUAUAUACCAUUGAAAAGCCUUCAGAGCUGAGAGGUUAGUUGAUAUUUUUUGUUCCUUACAGCUUAUGCCACCAAGUAGGCAGUUUCUAUGAUGAAUCAAACUAGCUCACUAUGACCGACAGUGAAAAUACAUGAACACCUGAGAAACUGGAGAACGCAGGGAGUGGGGGGUAACCAUGUCUGAGGAAUCUUUCACCCACAGCUUUGUUUUUCUCUAGGUACUACUAACCAAUAACCUGCUUGGCUCAAAGGGCCAGCACCUUCUCUCUAAAGCCCAAGAGGAGUUUGAGGAAAACUAGGUGUCUGUGUUCACUCCAGGCUGAAGUUACAGGUCUGAGCAAAUAAGGUGUAUAAAAAAUGGAAUCUGUCUUGGAGGACAUCAGAAGGUGAAUUUUCCAAGUUCUUGGACAACCUAGCUGUUGAAAAGCUUUCUGGGUUUGGGGGGUAUUUCAGAUGUACCUUAAAGUGUUAGCAGACACAGAUUAAGACACUGGGAGCCAAUGAAACAGCAGUUGAGGGUUUGCUGUGUAUCACAUUUCUGUAUUUUAUCACCCCCUUCCUGCAACAUUAUUUAUCUGGAAUCUACCUGCCCUUUUGUUUUUUAGAUACAAGGGCUUGGUUUUGUUACCCAGGCUGGUUUCAAGGCCAUAGCUUUAAGAGAUCCUCUCACCACAGAUUUCCAAAGUGCUGGGAUUGCAGGUGUGAUUCAUGGCACCCAGACUUUGCUGCCUUUCUUACAUGAUCCAGGCCCAGAACCCAAACUCAGGCACUGUAUAGAUGACCACUUUCGUAAACUACUGACCUAGCUUGUUGCCAAUUGUUGAUUGAACUUCCCAUAACUCCACUUCGUGUCUGUUCCUCUGUAUACAGCCACCUUCUGUUCCCGUCAUGAGCCUUUAGGUCUCCAUUUGCAUAUUGCAAAUACUAUGUUCCAUGUAGGUAGCUCAUUCAGGGCCUUGCUCUUCACUUCAAAAAAGGUUCCCUUGAGGACUGGCUGUCAAUUUGUGUUGCUGUGUUGGUUGUUGAUGAAAAUAAUAAAAUGAUUGAUUACAUA